RNAcentral lists this ribosomal RNA (1372 nucleotides) under uncultured bacterium. RNAcentral describes it as "bacterial SSU rRNA". It matches the Rfam family "Bacterial small subunit ribosomal RNA", at positions 28 to 1381 of the family's 1533-position model. The record is from RNAcentral.
GAUGAACGCUGGCGGCGUGCCUAAUACAUGCAAGUCGAGCGAACGGACGAGAAGCUUGCUUCUCUGAUGUUAGCGGCGGACGGGUGAGUAACACGUGGAUAACCUACCUAUAAGACUGGGAUAACUUCGGGAAACCGGAGCUAAUACCGGAUAAUAUUUUGAACCGCAUGGUUCAAAAGUGAAAGACGGUCUUGCUGUCACUUAUAGAUGGAUCCGCGCUGCAUUAGCUAGUUGGUAAGGUAACGGCUUACCAAGGCAACGAUGCAUAGCCGACCUGAGAGGGUGAUCGGCCACACUGGAACUGAGACACGGUCCAGACUCCUACGGGAGGCAGCAGUAGGGAAUCUUCCGCAAUGGGCGAAAGCCUGACGGAGCAACGCCGCGUGAGUGAUGAAGGUCUUCGGAUCGUAAAACUCUGUUAUUAGGGAAGAACAUAUGUGUAAGUAACUGUGCACAUCUUGACGGUACCUAAUCAGAAAGCCACGGCUAACUACGUGCCAGCAGCCGCGGUAAUACGUAGGUGGCAAGCGUUAUCCGGAAUUAUUGGGCGUAAAGCGCGCGUAGGCGGUUUUUUAAGUCUGAUGUGAAAGCCCACGGCUCAACCGUGGAGGGUCAUUGGAAACUGGAAAACUUGAGUGCAGAAGAGGAAAGUGGAAUUCCAUGUGUAGCGGUGAAAUGCGCGGAGAUAUGGAGGAACACUAGUGGCGAAGGCGACUUUCUGGUCUGUAACUGACGCUGAUGUGCGAAAGCGUGGGGAUCAAACAGGAUUAGAUACCCUGGUAGUCCACGCCGUAAACGAUGAGUGCUAAGUGUUAGGGGGUUUCCGCCCCUUAGUGCUGCAGCUAACGCAUUAAGCACUCCGCCUGGGGAGUACGACCGCAAGGUUGAAACUCAAAGGAAUUGACGGGGACCCGCACAAGCGGUGGAGCAUGUGGUUUAAUUCGAAGCAACGCGAAGAACCUUACCAAAUCUUGACAUCCUUUGACAACUCUAGAGAUAGAGCCUUCCCCUUCGGGGGACAAAGUGACAGGUGGUGCAUGGUUGUCGUCAGCUCGUGUCGUGAGAUGUUGGGUUAAGUCCCGCAACGAGCGCAACCCUUAAGCUUAGUUGCCAUCAUUAAGUUGGGCACUCUAAGUUGACUGCCGGUGACAAACCGGAGGAAGGUGGGGAUGACGUCAAAUCAUCAUGCCCCUUAUGAUUUGGGCUACACACGUGCUACAAUGGACAAUACAAAGGGCAGCGAAACCGCGAGGUCAAGCAAAUCCCAUAAAGUUGUUCUCAGUUCGGAUUGUAGUCUGCAACUCGACUACAUGAAGCUGGAAUCGCUAGUAAUCGUAGAUCAGCAUGCUACGGUGAAUACGUUCCCGGGUCU